RNAcentral lists this ribosomal RNA (212 nucleotides) under uncultured bacterium. RNAcentral's name for it is "partial 16S ribosomal RNA". It matches the Rfam family "Bacterial small subunit ribosomal RNA", at positions 524 to 735 of the family's 1533-position model. The record is from RNAcentral.
UACGUAGGGUGCAAGCGUUGUCCGGAAUUAUUGGGCGUAAAGAGCUCGUAGGCGGUUUGUUGCGUCGGCUGUGAAAUCCCGAGGCUCAACCUCGGGUCUGCAGUCGAUACGAGCAAACUAGAGUGUUGCAGGGGAGACUGGAAUUCCUGGUGUAGCGGUGAAAUGCGCAGAUAUCAGGAGGAACACCGGUGGCGAAGGCGGGUCUCUGGGCC